GGAUUGUAACCUCUUUUAUCAGGGAAGAAGUUCUGACGGUACCUGAUGAAUAAGCAUCGGCUAACUCCGUGCCAGCAGCCGCGGUAAUACGGAGGAUGCAAGCGUUAUCCGGAAUUAUUGGGCGUAAAGCGUCCGUAGGUGGUUUUGCAAGUCUGCUGUUAAAGAAUGGAGCUUAACUCCAUAGAAGCGGUGGAAACUGCAAGACUAGAGUACAGUAGGGGUAGCAGGAAUUCCCAGUGUAGCGGUGAAAUGCGUAGAUAUUGGGAAGAACAUCGGUGGCGAAAGCGUGCUACUGGGCUGAAACUGACACUGAGGGACGAAAGCUAGGGUAGCGAAAGGGAUUAGAUACCCCCAGUAGUC
RNAcentral lists this ribosomal RNA (360 nucleotides) under Synechocystis sp. NIONSC. RNAcentral's name for it is "bacterial SSU rRNA". It matches the Rfam family "Bacterial small subunit ribosomal RNA", at positions 420 to 795 of the family's 1533-position model. Lineage: Bacteria; Bacillati; Cyanobacteriota; Cyanophyceae; Synechococcales; Merismopediaceae. The record is from RNAcentral.